This 787-nucleotide long non-coding RNA is filed under the name Equus caballus (horse). Its description in RNAcentral is "lncRNA (ENSECAG00000055738.1)". The record is from RNAcentral. Lineage: Eukaryota; Metazoa; Chordata; Mammalia; Perissodactyla; Equidae.
AAAGGUUAUAACCAUGUUUCAGUAGAAAUGAAACACUCCUCAUGUUCAAGUUUAGCAAAUUUACAAGCACUCAUAAUCUAGUGUUAUGUUUAUUUCUAGGUCUGAAAAACAAUCCUAAAUUCUCAUUUUUAAAUUUUUUUCUGGGACCACUCCUGGUCACACAUACUCUACCUGUCAAGUUCAGUCAGGAAAAGAGAAACUAAAGCAGCCCAUGCUGUGAGGGCCUGGCCACUUGUGCUCCCAUCACACUGCCACAGCCAUAACUGACAUGGCUUUUUAUUUUUUUCCUGCCUCAUAUCCAGGAAAGUUGCCUCCGUUUGACAAAGACUAAGUACAACUCUGUUGGCAAGAGAUAUUUGGAAAUGUAGUUUUCAGGCAUCCAGGCCUUACAGUUCAACAGAGAAGAAAGGAGGGUGAAAUGUGGCUGAGUAUGUACAGUACCCAAAACCACACAGUAAAUAAAAAAUCUGGUCCAGUGGCUGUCACUGUUACCAUCUUCUCUGAGCCUGAAAUCAAAUGUCAGUAUCUACCAAAGGAGGAGAAGAAUGUAAAAACUGGGAGUUUCCCUGGAGCUGGAAAUUAAGGAUGUGUAUUCCUGCCUUUUGCAUUCGUUAGUUGUACAGCCUCUGUGCCGUAUACAGAAUGGUGAGAAGAUUCACCUGCGAUACCUGAAUGUCAGAGGCGUUUCUUUCCACGGUCCGAAUGUUUGAACAUGUUAUUUUGUAUCACCUUUUGGUCAAUGAUAUUUGAAGAAGAUUCAUUGUUUGGCUUAUCUUUGUUUGCUGAG